UCGAUGUUCAAGAUAAUUGAGUGAUAAUUAUGGUGCUACCAGCCGAGACAAAAAUGACAAAUCUCAUGUCAGGCAUUUAAAUGAUGAAGAGAAAGGGAUUUCAUCAAUUUAUAAUCAAUCUUUAACCAGAAAUUGCUUCUUGGCAAGAACAAAAUGAACUUUCAUUUUCAUUGCUUCAACAGCAAUAUCUUCACAUUCAUCUCCUAAAGAUUCGUUGACCAUAUUCUACAUUAGCCUGAUCCUUACAGUCGCCGGAAAAAACCUUGCUGCCUCUGUUCUUGCAUUCGCCUCUGUGUUUGCUUAGACCGUUCCUUAAACUCUUUUGCAAUAUCCUCUCUUUCAUAAGAUGCUAGCACUUUUCUGAUAUCUGCUGGACUUGCACGAGCAACAUAUUCAAGAAAUGGAAUGAGAUCCAAAAGUGUUGUAUCCACAGAUCCCUCGCCUUUCUCAUCAAUCUGAAAAGGCUUGAUAGGGACACAAUUUUCUGGCUGAAGGCUAUUUUCAAAAGCAUGAGCGCUCACAUAUAUAAUCUUACCUGGAUCUCUAUUAAGUUUCGAGAGAUCUCUAUAAUGCUUUCCAUCCUGAUACUUCGUAGCACCCCUUGAUAGCCUAUAUCGUAUGCAGUGGCUGGUGUCCAACCUUUCAACAACAGGAUCUACAUACAUACUCAGCUGAUCAGAAUACACAACGAUUUCAUAUAACCUUGCAAGGUGUUGCAAGAAGUCAUCAACCCCAGGUCUUUUGAAAGUUCGCCAACCUCUAUCACGCUUCCAAUCACUAUAAAUGAUUGUCUCAUUAAGAUCCAAAACCAAAGUAAAAACAUGUUGCUCAGAGGGAUGCAAAUCAGGUAGAAGUUUAUCUGAGGUUGGUUCAGUAAAACCUUUAACUUGUUCUUCAAUGGCCCUCCUUGUAUCCAAGUAAAGUUCAACUGCUUUAGCAGGAACUGUCAUUGCAGCAGAAUAGAGCAAACCCUGGUAUUUCUCCAUGGAGGAUGCAUCUUCACCCACCUUGUAGUUGACUGAUUGUCGCAAUGCCUUUGUCUUAUCCUCUAUUUCAUCCAAUGUAUAUGCGUAAGUUGCGUAGCCAGCAAAACCAGUAGCUCCACUAAGAGUGGCAAUGAGCCCAAACUUAAAAAAGCUCCAGCCUUUCCUCUGCGAACCCGCAGCAACAGCCUCAGCCGGCGGCUCCGCAGCAGCAGCUGUCACCUCAGCUGCUUGUUCAGCGAUGAUAGAUUGAGAAGAGAUGAUCGAUUCUUUGUCGGCCUUAGAACUAAAAAAUCGACGAUUAGGUUUCUUAAUUCUCGAUAGCAAUGAUAAAACGCGAGAUCGAAGUAAAAUUGAAGCCAUUGUUAGGGCUUUUCAGGGUAUUGGGAUUUAGGGGGUUAAAUAGGGUUUUACGAGAGAGAGAGAGAGAGAGAGAAGAGAAU
RNAcentral lists this unclassified non-coding RNA (1426 nucleotides) under Hevea brasiliensis (rubber tree). The record is from RNAcentral. Lineage: Eukaryota; Viridiplantae; Streptophyta; Magnoliopsida; Malpighiales; Euphorbiaceae.